Chelonia mydas (Green sea turtle) is the source of this 769-nucleotide long non-coding RNA. RefSeq lists it as uncharacterized. The transcript has 3 exons. NCBI's taxonomy places the organism in Eukaryota, Metazoa, Chordata, Testudines, Cheloniidae. The record is from RefSeq and is a predicted model, not a curated record.
GGGGAAUAUAUAUAAUUGGAAGGAACAGGCAGUAAGAGAGAAACCCAGAGGGUGAGCUGUGUAGAGGAAAGAAAGCUGUGUGUGAAAGGCUCCCUGUGCUCAAGCCAGGAAAUUGAGGAUUAAAGGUCCCCAGAGUGAACAGGAGAAGGUGUUGGAUGAGGAAGAAGAGUAUGCAGGACAGGUGGCUGGGGAUCUAGUGGUUGAUUCCAGAGCAGUCAAGCCAGUCCCUACAGUGCAGUACAGGCAAACCUGAUGCAGGGGAAGGAACCCCUGCUGGAAAUGUGGCCUUGAGGGUCUCUGUCCACAUCAGUGGAGUGGCUCAGCCAGAUCAGGAGGAUAAAGAAGAGCAUGUGGGAUGACAUGUUCCAAGAGAUCCUGCAAGCCUCUGGUGCUUCAGCUACCAAGCACAGGGCUUGGAGGAUCACCCUUGUAGACAGAAUGGACAGGGAUAGAGUGGAGAGGAGAGAAGGAGAGAGACAUGCAGCAGGAUAUGCUUCGUGCUUCUCAAGCAGCAAACACAUGCUAGAAACUCCUGUUUGCCUCCAUCUGCAGCCCAUAGAGAACUGCAUUCUGGGACCUUCCCACCCCCACCCAUUCCACAUGGUGUCCAGGGCCCCUGCUUUACACCUACCACUCCACCCUGGGGGAGAGAGCAAUCACACCUGCACAUAGAAUGAGACACAUGGUUGGUGUAUAUUUUCUGUGCAAAUGACUUUUCUCCUUCAAAGGUUCUUUUCCCUGUAUUCAUAAAGAUUAAUUCAGUUAUAAA